Molecule: ribosomal RNA, 238 nt
Filed under: Enterococcus faecium
Lineage: Bacteria; Bacillati; Bacillota; Bacilli; Lactobacillales; Enterococcaceae
Description: partial 23S ribosomal RNA
Rfam family: Bacterial large subunit ribosomal RNA
Source: RNAcentral
GAUAAGGUUAAGUGAAUAAGGGCGCACGGUGGAUGCCUUGGCACUAGGAGCCGAUGAAGGACGGGACUAACACCGAUAUGCUUUGGGGAGCUGUACGUAAGCUAUGAUCCAGAGAUUUCCGAAUGGGGGAACCCAACAUCUUUAAUAGGAUGUUACGAUUGUGUGAAUACAUACCACCUUCUAGGUAGACGAAGAGAACUGAAACAUCUAAGUACCUGCAGGAAGAGAAAGAAAAGUC